ACGUUGAAAUACCGGUUCCCGUAUGAUCAACGAAGUUAGGCCACGUCGAGCCUGGUUAGUACCCAGAUUGGCGACUACUUGGGAGUAACAGGUGCUGUAAGC
Acanthosepion pharaonis is the source of this 102-nucleotide non-coding RNA. NCBI's taxonomy places the organism in Eukaryota, Metazoa, Mollusca, Cephalopoda, Sepiida, Sepiidae. The record is from the annotation of a GenBank genome assembly.